AACGAACGCUGGCGGCAUGCCUAACACAUGCAAGUCGAACGAGACCUUCGGGUCUAGUGGCGCACGGGUGCGUAACGCGUGGGAACCUGCCCUUAGGUUCGGAAUAACUCCCCGAAAGGGGUGCUAAUACCGGAUAAUGUCUUCGGACCAAAGAUUUAUCGCCUUUGGAUGGGCCCGCGUUGGAUUAGCUAGUUGGUAGGGUAAAAGCCUACCAAGGCGACGAUCCAUAGCUGGUCUGAGAGGAUGAUCAGCCACACUGGGACUGAGACACGGCACAGACUCCUACGGGAGGCAGCAGUGGGGGAUAUUGGAAAGCGGGCGAAGGCCUGAUCCAGCAAUGCCGCGUGAGUGAUGAAGGCCUUAGGGUUGUAAAGUUCUUUUAACCGGGCUGAUAAUGACAGUACCGAGAGAAUAAGCUCCGGCUAACUACGUG
This 433-nucleotide ribosomal RNA is filed under the name uncultured bacterium. RNAcentral's name for it is "partial 16S ribosomal RNA". It matches the Rfam family "Bacterial small subunit ribosomal RNA", at positions 29 to 507 of the family's 1533-position model. The record is from RNAcentral.